RNAcentral lists this ribosomal RNA (425 nucleotides) under uncultured bacterium. RNAcentral describes it as "partial 16S ribosomal RNA". It matches the Rfam family "Bacterial small subunit ribosomal RNA", at positions 354 to 796 of the family's 1533-position model. The record is from RNAcentral.
GUGGGGAAUAUUGGACAAUGGGCGAAAGCCUGAUCCAGCAAUGCCGCGUGAGUGAUGAAGGCCUUAGGGUUGUAAAGCUCUUUUACCAGGGAUGAUAAUGACAGUACCUGGAGAAUAAGCUCCGGCUAACUCCGUGCCAGCAGCCGCGGUAAUACGGAGGGAGCUAGCGUGGUUCGGAAUUACUGGGCGUAAAGCGCGCGUAGGCGGUUUAUCAAGUCAGGGGUGAAAUCCCGGGGCUCAACCCCGGAACUGCUCUGUAAACUGGUUCACUAGUAUCCUGGAGAGGCGCGUUGAAUUCCAAGUGUAGAGGUGAAAUUCGUAGAUAUUCGGAAGAACACCAGGGGCGAAGGCGACUCGCUGGACAGGUAUUGACGCUGAGGUGCGAAAGCGUGGGGAGCAAACAGGAUUAGAUACCCCGGUAGUCC